This 253-nucleotide ribosomal RNA is filed under the name uncultured bacterium. RNAcentral describes it as "partial 16S ribosomal RNA". It matches the Rfam family "Bacterial small subunit ribosomal RNA", at positions 524 to 776 of the family's 1533-position model. The record is from RNAcentral.
UACGGGGGGGGCAAGCGUUGUUCGGAAUUACUGGGCGUAAAGUGUGCGCAGGCGGCAGAGCAAGUCGAGUGUGAAAGCCCCGGGCUUAACUUGGGAAUUGCGCUCGAAACUACUUUGCUGGAGUGUGGCAGAGGAAGGUGGAAUUCCACGUGUAGCGGUGAAAUGCGUAGAGAUGUGGAGGAACACCAAUGGCGAAGGCAGCCUUCUGGGCCAACACUGACGCUCAUGCACGAAAGCGUGGGGAGCAAACAGG